AGAGUUUGAUCCUGGCUCAGAUUGAACGCUGGCGGCAGGCCUAACACAUGCAAGUCGAACGGUAACAGGAAGAAGCUUGCUUCUUUGCUGACGAGUGGCGGACGGGUGAGUAAUGUCUGGGAAACUGCCUGAUGGAGGGGGAUAACUACUGGAAACGGUAGCUAAUACCGCAUAACGUCGCAAGACCAAAAAGGGGGACCUUCGGGCCUCUUGCCAUCGGAUGUGCCCAGAUGGGAUUAGCUAGUAGGUGGGGUAACGGCUCACCUAGGCGACGAUCCCUAGCUGGUCUGAGAGGAUGACCAGCCACACUGGACACGGUCCAGACUCCUACGGGAGGCAGCAGUGGGGAAUAUUGCACAAUGGGCGCAAGCCUGAUGCAGCCAUGCCGCGUGUAUGAAGAAGGCCUUCGGGUUGUAAAGUACUUUCAGCGGGGAGGAAGGGAGUAAAGUUAAUACCUUUGCUCAUUGACGUUACCCGCAGAAGAAGCACCGGCUAACUCCGUGCCAGCAGCCGCGGUAAUACGGAGGGUGCAAGCGUUAAUCGGAAUUACUGGGCGUAAAGCGCACGCAGGCGGUUUGUUAAGUCAGAUGUGAAAUCCCCGGGCUCAACCUGGGAACUGCAUCUGAUACUGGCAAGCUUGAGUCUCGUAGAGGGGGGUAGAAUUCCAGGUGUAGCGGUGAAAUGCGUAGA
RNAcentral lists this ribosomal RNA (690 nucleotides) under uncultured bacterium. RNAcentral describes it as "bacterial SSU rRNA". It matches the Rfam family "Bacterial small subunit ribosomal RNA", at positions 8 to 694 of the family's 1533-position model. The record is from RNAcentral.